RNAcentral lists this ribosomal RNA (603 nucleotides) under uncultured organism. Its description in RNAcentral is "bacterial SSU rRNA". It matches the Rfam family "Bacterial small subunit ribosomal RNA", at positions 828 to 1431 of the family's 1533-position model. The record is from RNAcentral.
UCCAUUUAAGGGUUUAGUGGCGCAGCUUACGCGAUUAGUCGACCUCCUGGGGAGUACGACCGCAAGGUUGAAACUCAAAGGAAUUGACGGGGCACCGCACAAGCGGUGGAGCAGGUGGUUUAAUUCGAUGCAACGCGAAGAACAAGUACCAGCCCUUGACAUCAAUGGAACUGUCAGAGAUGACAGGGCACUUCGGGAGCCAAGUGACAGGUGCUGCAUGGCUGUCGUCAGCUCGUGUCGUGAGAUGUUGGNUUAAGUCCCGUAACGAGCGCAACCAUUGUCACUUAGUUGCCAGCGGUUCGGCCGGGAACUCUAAGGAGACUGCCGGUGAUAAACCGGAGGAAGGUGGGGAUGACGUCAAGUCAUCAUGGCCAUUAUGGGCUGGGCUACACACGUGCUACAAUGGUCGGUACAGAGGGUCGCGAAGCCGCGAGGUGGAGCCAAUCCCAGAAAGCCGAUCGUAGUCCGGAUUGCAGUCUGCAACUCGACUGCAUGAAGUCGGAAUCGCUAGUAAUCGCGAAUCAGCAUGUCACGGUGAAUACGUUCCCGGGCAUUGUACACACCGCCCGUCACACCAUGGGAGUUGGUGCACCAGAAGUAGAU